Molecule: long non-coding RNA, 8593 nt
Organism: Orcinus orca (killer whale)
Lineage: Eukaryota; Metazoa; Chordata; Mammalia; Artiodactyla; Delphinidae
Exons: 2
Source: RefSeq, a predicted model, not a curated record
UUCAUCAAAAAACAUGCUAUAGGUAAAAAGCUCUGAAGGACCAGCUAUGUAUAUGAUAAUUAUGUUUCAGACCUUCUAGAGUAUUAUAUAUAAUAACUUGUCUUCUGGACGUGGUCUUGAAGUCUUUAUGGAUUCAGCCUCAGUAGUAGCGAACUGCACUGCUACUUGGUUUGGAGUACAAAUUAGACUUUAGCCCUCCUGGAAGUUGAGUUUCUGGUAUUGAAAACCAUAGGAAUGAAAUUAUUGUAUUUCAACAAAGGAUCGAGGGCUUGAGGCUUAAACAAGGCAACAUAUGUGUGGGAAGCAGUCAGCCUUGAGAGCAGGCUACGGACAUGCCAGGCAUGCGGCCGCUGCUCGAAGGGACUGUCCCUACUUGUUCCCCUCCUUGUUCCAUUCCAUGGGAGAUAAAUCACCAGGGCCCAGAAAUCAGAAAGAAUGUAAAAUGAGACAAGCAAAGCUGUCUCCCCCCUGCACAUCCAGGUUAUUUUUGAUGAUUCUGGGUUUAUGGGUUUCCUCCCAGGGAAGUUAACCUUGAGCCGAGACAGUCUGUAGAUAAUGUAAACCACCAUCUGGCAACCUUCCUUUUUCUAGUCUAUAUAAUCUGCCACUGUAGCAUAAUAAAAUUUGCCUUGCAACCAUCAGUUGUCUUGGUCCUUCUGACCCCAUUCAUCGGUGCUACUUCAGUUCCUUACCCCUUCCCUUCUGACCCUGGGCGGUGAAAUCCUCUUUCUCCGGCUGGUCCGCGGCAAGUGGCACUCGAACAGGAAGCGUGAAGGCAAUUAAAAGAAAAAGAAAGUGCAGGUAAGAGAACCCUUAUGCAAAGUAUGUGUGGCCACCAGUAAAAGUGAAACUAAUAGAGGCAUAAGGCAAUAGUCAGAAGUAAAAUAAGAUGGGGCAAAAGGCUCAAAGGAGUGUGAAUUAUUUGCUCAGGUUUUACUUUCCAUGCUUAAAGCUCGGGGUAAUAAAGUUUCUACCUUCACAGUUGACUGAAUUUUUACAGCAUAUCCAUGGUGUAUCUCCCUGGUUUCCUGAUGGCGGCUCUGUUGACAUAGAAAUCUGGCAGAAAGUUGGAGAAGAUUUAAAAAAUUAUUAUGAGGCUCGAGGGCCUACUCAUACUCCUGUUGUUACAUAUAGUUUGUGGAAUCUGAUAAAAAUAUGUUUAGAUUCUUCUCAUGAUAGUGUUGAUUUGAAUGUAAAGUCAGAAAGACAUAAGCCUCUGGCAGAAGGAGAGACUGUAGUAUCAGCUACCGUGUCGCCACUUCCUAAACUGAAAGAGCUAAUUAAUUUAAAUAUUUUAGAUGAAGAGGAACAUUUUGACUUAACAGAUGAGGCUUUUAAACAUAAAAGAGAGAACUAUCCUGAGGAUGGUUUUCUAAUGGCUGUGAUAGAUAAGUCAGUGAAAAAGCUGCAGGUUAAUAAGGACUGUCUUCCUCAAAAAUCUACAUCUGUAAAAAUGCUCAGUCCCUUGCAGCGCGCUGUACAAGGAGCAAUAAAACGAGGAGAAGAUCCUAUUUUCUGUUGUCCCGUCAUAGAAAGACCUGGUCCUAAUAAUCCUCAACAAGCUACUAGGGAGCAUCAGGCUCUCCCUUUGAAAGUUUUGAAAGAUUGAAAAUCUGCCUGUUCUCAAUAUGGGCCCACUGCUCCUUUUACUGCUGCUGUGGUUGACAGGAGAAGCUCUUCCCCCCGCUGAUUGGAAGUCUAUUGCACGAGCUUGUUUAAAUGGUGGAGAUUAUUUAAUAUGGAAGUUUGAUUUUUAUGAACGGGCUGCUGAACAAGCAGAAAAGAAUGCUGCCCAUAAUAUUGCAGUUGAUUAUCAUAUACUGAUUGGGAAGGACAAUAUAUUUCUUUACAAGAUCAAUUAACUUAUCCCUUUGUUGCUUAUCCUCAAAUAAAUCAUUUGGCAUUACAAGCCUGGAGGAAAUGACCUUCUACACACAAAACUGAGGAUCUUUCAACAAUUAGACAGGGACCUGAUGAACCAUAUGCUGAUCUUGUAGAUAGGUUGUCACAGGCGGUGGGGAGACUCAUUGUGGACGGACUCACUGGUACAAUUGUAGUUAAGCAGCUUGCUUUUGAGAAUGCUAAUAAUGCGUCUCAGGCUGCGAUUCGACCUUGGAGAAAACAGGGAACAUUGGAGGAUUAUAUUCGCCUUUGUGCAGACAUUGGGCCUGCUUAUAUACAGGGUGCUGCUAUGGCUGCAGCAUUAACUAAAGUGGGGUUUAAAAACAAUCAAAAGAAAACAAAGACUUGUUUUAAAUGCGGAAAGGCAGGUCAUUUUGCUAGAGAAUGUAGAUCUUUUAAUUCUAACCCUAGUCCUUCCUUCCCUACUCAAAAACCUCCAGAUGGUCAGAAAAUCCCUGGUUUAUGCCCUAAAUGCAAUAGGGGAAAACACUGGGCACAAGAUAGUUGCUCAGUGGCCCACAACGAUGGGACACCACUGUCAGGAAACUCCUCCCGGGGCCUUCCCCGGCCCCAACAAAUAAUAAGGGCAGUGUCUGUGUAUCCUCCUCAAAUUAUCAAUCAGACGUUAACCAAAAACAAAAACAUACAAUAUCCUUGCUCUCCAGAGCAACACCAGGAAGCGCAGGACUGGAGCUCAGUACCUCCGCCCGCUAUGUAUUAACUCCUGAAAUGGGUCCUCAGGCCCUCUCUAUGGGCAUCUAUGGACCUUUACCCAAGGGUUUGAUGGGACUAUUAUUGGGAAGAAGUAGUGUCACCAUGAAAGGUUUAACUAUUAUACCAGGUCAUAGAUUCUGACUAUGAAGGAGAAAUAAAAGUCAUGGCACAAACUAUUAAAAACAUAAUAACUAUUUCUUCUGGUGAUAAAAUUGCACAAUUGCUACUUUUGCCCUUUGUACCUCAUGGACAAAUUUUACAACAUCAAAAGAGAGAAACAAAGGCUUUGGAUCAUCUAAUGCUGCCUACUGGAUUCAGAAGAUAGGGAAAGAACGUCCAGAAAUGAAAUGAACCAUUAAUGGAAAGGUUUUUUCAGGUUUGUUAGACACUGGAGCUGAUGUCUCUGUUAUGACGCAGGUACACUGGCCUAAACAUUGGCCCAUUAGUCCUACUAUUACAGAACUUCAAGGAAUAGGACAAAGUUCUUCUCCUAUGCAAAGCAGUCAGUUAUUAUUAUGGCAAGAUAGUGAGGGCCUUUCAGGAUACUUCCAGCCUUAUGUUUUGCCUGGGCUGCCUUUAAACCUCUGGGGCCGAGAUAUAUUAAAAGAAAUGGGAGUAUUACUUUAUAGUCCAAAUUCCCAAGUCUCUAAUAUGUUGUUGGAUCAAGGAUUUCUUCCCACAAAAGGGCUGGGAACAAAUCAACAAGGAACUGUCUAUCCUAUUGAUGUGAAAAUAAAAAAUGAUAGACAAGGUUUGGGUUUUUCUUAGGGGCCUUGGAUUCUCCUCCACUCACUGCUGAUCCAAUUACUUGGCUGACUGAUGACCCUGUAUGGGUGGACCAAUGGCUCCUCACAAAGGAGAAAUUAGAAGCUGCAGAACAAUUAGUACUGGAACAAUUAGGGCAUUUAGAAAUUUCCUGUAGUCCUUGAAAUACUCCUAUUUUUAUUAUCAAGAAAAAAUCUGGAAAGUAUAGGUUAUUACAGGAUCUAAGAGCUGUUAAUAAAACUAUGCUAACAAUGGGAGCUCUUCAACCAGGCCUACCCUCUCCAACAGCCAUACCACACAAUUAUCACCUUUUAGUUAUAGAUUUAAAAGAUUGUUUUUUCACUAUUCCUUUGUUUCCUGAAGAUAGAAAACAUUUUGCUUUUAGCUUGCCUUCCUUAAAUUUUAAGGAACCCAUGAGGAGAUUUCAAUGGAAAGUAUUGCCUCAGGGCAUGGCAAAUAGUCCUACAUUAUGCCAAAAAUAUGUGGCUCAGGCCUUGACUCCUGUGAGAAAAAGGUUUCCAUCGUUAUAUCUCAUACAUUAUAUGGAUGAUAUACUUUUAGCCACUGAUAAUAUUUCUUUAUUAGAGACUGCUUUUCAAUUCUUACAACAGUCCUUACAAUCAUUUGGCUUGGUCAUUGCCUCAAAAAAAAUUCAAAGACAAUCUCCAUUUUUAUAUUUGGAGAAAUAUAUUGAUAACACUACUAUUAGGCCUCAAAACCUGCAAAUUCGAGUUGAUAAUUUAAAAACAUUAAAUGAUUUUCAAAAAUUACUUGGAGAUAUUAAUUGGCUAAGGCCUUCCUUAAAACUUACUACUGCUCAAUUACAGCCUUUGUUUGAUAUUCUUAAAGGUGACUCAGAUCCUUCUUCUUCACGCUCUAUGACUCCAGAAGGGUUUCAAGCUUUACAAAUAGUCAAUAGAUCAGUUCUACACAAUUAACUAGAAUUCAUACUCACCUUCCAAUUUUCUUAAUAAUUUGUCCAACUCCUCAUGUGCCUACUGCCGUCUUAUGGCAAACUGUUGGAAUUAUUGAAUAGAUUCAUAUGAAAACUACACCCUCUAAAGUUAUUAACCCUUAUUAUGAACUUAUUAGUAAUUUAAUAAUGCAAGGUAGAACUAGAUGCUUACAACCUAUAAGUAUAGAACCUUCUCAAAUUAUUAUCCCUUAUUCAGUUAGUCAACAAAAUUGGCUUUUUCAACAUAGUAAUGAAUGGGGUCUUGCUCUUGCAGGAUUUUCAGGUACCUUGGAAUGCCAUUACCCUGCUGAUAAAUUGAUCCAAUUCAGCAAACUUAACUCAUAUCUUUCCUUCUAUAAUUAGGCAACAGCCUGUUCCUCAUGUACCUUUGGUUUUUACAGACGGUUCUUCUUCAAGAGUGGCUACUGUAAUCUUUGAUGACGGAACAAAACUCAUUAAAGAAACUUGCUUGACUUCAGCUUAACGUGUUGAACUGUUUGCUGUCAUUAUGGCUUUUAAACAUUUGCCUUCUAUAUCUUUUAAUUUGUUUUCUGAUAGUAAAUAUCUUAUUAGCUUAUUAUUUCUUCUGGAGACUGCGACCAUAGGACAUACUAAUGACCCUGAAUUAUCAUCCUCUUUUCGUUUGCUUCAACAGCUUAUUCGUUCCCACGAUGGUUCUGUUGCAGGUCUGUAUAUCCGUGCUCAUUCUAACUUGCCUGGUCCAUUGGCUAAACUUAAUGCGACUGCAGAUGUUUUAACUCGAUCUAAAUGUGAUCUUUAUCCUGUACAUUUUCCUCCCAAGAAUAGAGUUGAAGUUACUCCUCCUUCUCAAUCUCUUUUCCCUAAAGCAGGACGUGUCCCAAUUUACCGUACUCCUCCUUUCCGUUUGUCAUGCUGUCAAGAAUGGCUAAUGUACUGCAUUCAUUAUCUUCAUACUGUUGAUACUCAUGGUCCAUGUCCUGGACACCCUCAUAUUAUGGGGAAAGGUUGGUGGCUGAGCCAAGAUUGGCUUCUCAAUCUCCGGAGAUCCUCUGGAAAGAUCCGUUAACCAGCACUUGGCGUGGUCCUGAUCCUGUGUUGAUUUGGGGACGUGGUCACGUGUGUAUCUUUCCCAGAUCAGCGCCUGGACCUCGCUGGCUUCCUGAGCACUUAGUCAAGCAAAUAGAUGACUCACCACAGCUCACAACUAGUUCAGAAGAUGAAGAAGCUCUGCAUCUCUCCCGAAAAUUUGACAGUGUUGAUUCAGAAAGAGAAGAAGAAGAGGAGACCACUUGCCAGGACGACUCAAAGGAGUGAUGUUCCAACUUGGGGACAAAUUAAACAAUUGGUUUCACUAGCUCAAGAGUUAGUGAAACAACAGAAUAAUCCUGUUACACCUGUAACUUUAUUUUUGGCUAUGUUGGCAACCAUUUCAUGUGUUCCCUCUGUUAAUGCAGCAACUUACUGGGCCUAUGUACCUGAUCCUCCACCAUUACAACCCAUAUCUUGGUCUGAAGCAGAGUUUCCUGUAUUUUACAAUGAUAACUGUUUAUGGGCCUCUUAUUGGGAAUAUAAAACAAAUCAAUAUGUCUGUAAAUUAUACUAACUGGUUUAGUACCCAACCUGUCUGUCUUAGCCCAUUGAAUCUGGAAACUGGAUGUGUAAAGGCUAUUAGUUAUGAGCAUACAGAUGUUUAUGAGGGAACGGAUCAAUCAAUUAGUUUGUCAGGCUCUCCAGGCAUCCUUCGUUUUACAGGAACCAACAUUACUCUUAUAUGCCCGGCUACCAGCUGACGAGAGGAUCUUAAGGAUACCGUCAUUUGGUAUGAAAUGGGCAACCUAUUAAUAUUAGAGGUCAAAUCUCAUACGCCUCACCACUUAGGGAUUCCGCUAUUACUAUAGCCAAGGUUACAGGUGAAGAUUCAGGAAAUUAUUUCUGUAUGAAGUGUUUACUUGGAGGACAAGGGAUACUUAUAGCUGGACAUAAGGUUACUAUUCUUAACAGAAAAUCAAAAAAUCAAUUUCCUCCUUUUAUGACCGUUAACUUUCCUGGAUCCACUUUUAACCAAAUAUGGUGUACUAUAGAUUAUACCAAGAGGUCAAUUCUUUUUUUUUUUUUUCUAAGAGGUCAAUUCUUAUCUCUUCUGUUCCCAUCAUAGAUAGGUUUAUCACAUUUCAAAAGAACUGGGAUAUAUGGAAACUAGCUCUAACUUAUUCCAAUACACCUGUUAUAACUUGUGCUGUUUGGUUCUAUUAACAUUGGUAAUUCUUCCAAAGGAGGAUAUAAUAUUAGCUGUGUUAAUUGUAUUUUUAGCAGUUGUAUGUUCCCUUCUGCAGGAAUGCAAUCUGUGCUUAUACUAAAGCAACCCAUAUAUGUUAUGGUGCCUGUACAUCUGAGAGAACCUUGGUAUGAAGAUACUGGAGUACAGGCAUGGGUGGAACUCUCUAAAGCCUUGCAGAGAAGGAGACGCUUUCUUGGGUGGCUAAUAGUAAGUUUACUUGCCUCGGCUGCUCUGUCUGCUACGUGGCUACUGCCGGUCUUGCUCUUUCACAGAGUAUUAAUCAUGCUCACUUUGCUAAUCGGUUAUCUCAACAUACCAGUCUUGCUUUAUCUUUACAAAGUCACAUAGAUUUACAGAUUAGUAACAAGUUAGAUGAAUUUAAAAACGCAAUUUUGGGGAUUGGAGAUCAGAUGGCAGCAUUAAAAUUGAGGAUGCGUUUAGCUUGUCAUGCAACGUAUACAUGGAUUUGUGUUACUCCUUAAAAGUACAAUGACUGUAUUUGGGAAUGGGAAAAAGUAAAAAUGCAUCUGCUGAGUGUUUGGUCAGAUACUAAUAUUAGCCUUGAUCUUAAGAAAUUAAAUGCUGAAAUUCAGGAUAUACAAAAUGCACAUCUUGAUUUUAUUUCACCAGAAGAUGUAAUUCAAACUUUACUGGAUCAUUUAAAGUGGUUAAACCCUCAGUCUUGGAUUACUGGAAGGUUGUCAGGAUUUAUUACCCUGGCCAUAAUUUGCCUAUUGUUGAUAAUAAUCUUCUCAUGUCUGUUUCAUAUCCUCAUGCAACAGUAUACUACUCUAGGCACUAAACUACAUGGAAUUAUUUUGCAGCAAAAGUUAAAAAAUAAAAAAGGGGGACCUGUGGGAAGCAGUCAGCCUUGAGAGCAGGCUACAGACAUGCCAGGCAUGUGGCCGCUGCUCGAAGAGACUGUCCCUACUUGUUCCCCUCCUUGUUCCAUUCCAUGGGAGAUAAAUCACCAGGGCCCAGAAAUCAGAAAGAAUGUAAAAUGAGACAAGCAAAGCUGUCUCCCCCCUGCACAUCCAGGUUAUUUUUGAUGAUUCUGGGUUUAUGGGUUUCCUCCCAGGGAGGUUAACCUUGAGCCGAGACAGUCUGUAGAUAAUGUAAACCACCAUCUGGCAACCUUCCUUUUUCUAGUCUAUAUAAUCUGCCACUGUAGCAUAAUAAAAUUUGCCUUGCAACCGUCAGUUGUCUUGGUCCUUCUGACCCCAUUCAUCGGUGCUACUUCAGUUCCUUACCCCUUCCCUUCUGACCCUGGGCGGUGAAAUCCUGUUUCUCCGGCUGGUCUGCGGCACACAUGAAUAUAUGUUUUUGUCUUGCUGUACUGCACAUAUGCUGUCUAGUAACAGAUAUAUUGUCUGCUAGUAGUGUUCUAGAUUAUGUCUUUCCAAAGCGCUGAGGCAGUGCACCUAUUCUGUAGUUGCAGCUGAUGCCUGAAUGUAUCCUAGCUGACAAAUUAUUGAUUAAUAAGAACUUGAAUUUCUGAAAGAUUUGUACUGUUAACCAAAAUCUGAGCAAGGAGUCUCAAAUGUAAUUCUUAGCCAGAAUUACAUGUUAAUGAACCAUUUAACAGUGUAAAUCAAGGAACAUCAGUGUAAGGAUUUCUUUUAAUUUAUUUUUUACCUGCUUGAAAUAUCAGUUAAAGUUUGCCAGCUUGGUUGCAGAUGAACGGACGUUUGAAGUUCACCAAACUACUUAAUGUGGAAUAGGAUAAUAGACUUCCAGCGCCCUCAAGGCUGUGACCUUGCAGCCAUUUUACAUAGCACAUCCUCCUCCUAUAGGGAUGAACCUUUCCCUGGCCCAAAAAGUAGCAGCUCUGUUGAAGCUUUGCUUAUUGUAACAGGCUUUUGUUUCCAGGUUACAUGUCUGUGGAAGACUUAAUUCUGAAUAGAGAUAUAGAUAUUACUGGAAACUAAUUGUUUUUUCUAUUAUACUCUGCUUUAUCAAAGAAGUAAAACAUUUAAAUUGUGCUACAGAAAUUAAAA